Molecule: small RNA, 77 nt
Filed under: Citrobacter freundii
Lineage: Bacteria; Pseudomonadati; Pseudomonadota; Gammaproteobacteria; Enterobacterales; Enterobacteriaceae
Description: partial RtT sRNA
Rfam family: RtT RNA
About the family: This family represents a bacterial cis-regulatory element known as RtT RNA. The exact function of RtT is unknown although it is thought that it may be involved in changing the cellular response in relation to amino acid starvation.
Source: RNAcentral
GUAGCGAGAGAACGUUGCGUCAGCAACGGCCCGCGGGGCGAGCCACGUAGUGGCGAGUAAUCCUCUAUCACCGACCA